CUGGCGUUCCUGCAGACGAUUUCGUCCUUCCUCCCAUCUAUGCCCAUGGCGAGCUGCUGACCGGAGAAACCAAAGUGAAGAUUAAUCCAGCAGAUGAGGCCAUCCUCGCAGACAUGGGUCCCGAGGCUCUCCGCUCUGAAAUUACCGCCUAGUCCAUGGCCUUGCUCAAAUUGGUCGAGGUGGCGACUUUUCUGAAUGGUCGGGAGUGCAAAUACUUGGAGGAGAGGGAUGAGGCUCGCAAGGAGUUGCCUCUG
Molecule: long non-coding RNA, 254 nt
Filed under: Trifolium pratense (red clover)
Lineage: Eukaryota; Viridiplantae; Streptophyta; Magnoliopsida; Fabales; Fabaceae
Description: long non-coding RNA (TPRA_LNC013169)
Source: RNAcentral